GGACGUUGGGCUGUAUGGACUGGCUGGAGACAGUCUUGGACUGCUCGGGGAAUAAGCUAGGGACGGGCUGUAUUUUGCUGAUGAAGGAUUGUAACUAGGUGAUGUAGGGCUGUAGCUAGGAGAUGUUGGACUAUAGCUAGGAGAAGUUGGACUAUAACCUGGAGAAGUUGGGCUAUAGGCAGGAGAACUAGGGCUGUACGAUGGAGAUGUUGGACUGUAAGAAGGUGAUGUUGGGCUGUAUGAUGGCGAUGUUGGGCUGUAAGAUGGUGAAGUAGGACUGUAAGAUGGAGAGGUCGGGCUAUAGGAUGGUGAAGUGGGGCUAUAUGCAGGAGAUGUAGGGCUGUAUGCUGGAGACGUGGGGCUGUAUGCUGGUGAAGUGGGGCUGUAGCUUGGAGAAGUUGGACUGUAACUGGGAGAUGUAGGGCUAUAACUAGGAGAGGUAGGACUGUAGCUUGGUGAUGUUGGACUAUAACUAGGUGAGGUUGGGGAGUAAGAUGGACUUGUGGGAGAAUAUGUGGGGCUUGUUGGACUAUAGCCUGGAGAGCUUGGACUAUAUGUCGGUGAAGUGGGGCUGUAACCUGGUGAUGUGGGGCUAUAUCCAGGAGAAGUUGGACUAUAACCCGGAGAAGUAGGGCUAUAUCCAGGAGAGGAGGGACUGUAUCCUGGAGAAGAGGGGCUGUAUCCUGGAGAAGAUGUGGGAG
RNAcentral lists this long non-coding RNA (701 nucleotides) under Panax ginseng (ginseng). Its description in RNAcentral is "long non-coding RNA (PGIN_LNC009448)". Lineage: Eukaryota; Viridiplantae; Streptophyta; Magnoliopsida; Apiales; Araliaceae. The record is from RNAcentral.